GAUGAAGAACGCAGCGAAAUGCGAUAAGUAAUGUGAAUUGCAGAAUUCAGUGAAUCAUCGAAUCUUUGAACGCACAUUGCGCCCACCAGUAUUCUGGCGGGCAUGCCUGUUCGAGCGUCAUUUCAACCAUCAAGCCCCAGGCUUGUGUUGGGGACCUGCGGCUGCCGCAGGCCCUGAAAACCAGUGGCGGGCUCGCUGUCACACCGGGCGUAGUAGAUUUUAUCUCGCUCAGGGCGUGCUGCGGGUCCCGGCCGUUAAAAGCCUUUUUUUACCCAAGGUUGACCUCGGAUCAGGUAGGAAGACCCGCUGAACUUAAGCAUAUCAAUAAGCGGAGGA
RNAcentral lists this unclassified non-coding RNA (336 nucleotides) under soil metagenome. RNAcentral's name for it is "partial contains 5.8S ribosomal RNA, internal transcribed spacer 2, and large subunit ribosomal RNA". The stretch from base 1 to 120 matches the Rfam family "5.8S ribosomal RNA", at positions 35 to 154 of the family's 154-position model. The record is from RNAcentral.